RNAcentral lists this ribosomal RNA (360 nucleotides) under uncultured Streptococcus sp. RNAcentral's name for it is "bacterial SSU rRNA". It matches the Rfam family "Bacterial small subunit ribosomal RNA", at positions 1020 to 1382 of the family's 1533-position model. Lineage: Bacteria; Bacillati; Bacillota; Bacilli; Lactobacillales; Streptococcaceae. The record is from RNAcentral.
CGGUUACAUCGGUGACAGGUGGUGCAUGGUUGUCGUCAGCUCGUGUCGUGAGAUGUUGGUUAAGUCCCGCAACGAGCGCAACCCCUAUUGUUAGUUGCCAUCAUUCAGUUGGGCACUCUAGCGAGACUGCCGGUAAUAAACCGGAGGAAGGUGGGGAUGACGUCAAAUCAUCAUGCCCCUUAUGACCUGGGCUACACACGUGCUACAAUGGUUGGUACAACGAGUUGCGAGUCGGUGACGGCGAGCUAAUCUCUUAAAGCCAAUCUCAGUUCGGAUUGUAGGCUGCAACUCGUCUACAUGAAGUCGGAAUCGCUAGUAAUCGCGGAUCAGCACGCCGCGGUGAAUACGUUCCCGGGCCUU